RNAcentral lists this ribosomal RNA (497 nucleotides) under uncultured bacterium. Its description in RNAcentral is "partial 16S ribosomal RNA". It matches the Rfam family "Bacterial small subunit ribosomal RNA", at positions 28 to 507 of the family's 1533-position model. The record is from RNAcentral.
GAUGAACGCUGGCGGCGUGCCUAAUACAUGCAAGUCGAGCGAACAGACGAGGAGCUUGUUCUUCUGACGUUAGCGGCGGACGGGUGAGUAACACGUGGAUAACCUACCUAUAAGACUGGGAUAACAUCGGGAAACCGGAGCUAAUAACGGAUAAUAUAUUGAACCGCAUGGUUCAAUAGUGAAUGACGGUUUUGCUGUCACUAAUAGAUGGAUCCGCGCCGCAUUAGCUAGUUGGUAAGGUAACGGCUUACCAAGGCGACGAUGCGUAGCCGACCUGAGAGGGUGAUCGGCCACACUGGAACUGAGACACGGUCCAGACUCCUACGGGAGGCAGCAGUAGGGAAUCUUCCGCAAUGGGCGAAAGCCUGACGGAGCAACGCCGCGUGAGUGAUGAAGGUCUUCGGAUCGUAAAGCCCUGUUAUUAGGGAAGAACAGAUGUGUAAGUAACUAUGCACGUCUUGACGGUACCUAAUCAGAAAGCCACGGCUAACUACGUG